GCCAGCCGCCGCGGUAACACCGGCGGCCCGAGUGGUGAUCGUGAUUAUUGGGUCUAAAGGGUCCGUAGCCGGUUUGGUCAGUCCUCCGGGAAAUCUGAUAGCUCAACUAUUAGGCUUUCGGGGGAUACUGCCAGACUUGGAGCCGGGAGAGGUAAGAGGUACUACAGGGGUAGGAGUGAAAUCUUGUAAUCCCUGUGGGACCACCUGUGGCGAAGGCGUCUUACCAGAACGGGUUCGACGGUGAGGGACGAAAGCUGGGGGCACGAACCGGAUUAGAUACCCGGGUAGUCCCAGCCGUAAACGAUGCUCGCUAGGUGUCAGGCAUGGCGCGACCGUGUCUGGUGCCGCAGGGAAGCCGUGAAGCGAGCCACCUGGGAAGUACGGCCGCAAGGCUGAAACUUAAAGGAAUUAGCGGGGGAGCACAACAACGGGUGGAGCCCUGCGGUUUAAUUGGACUCUACGCCGGACAACUCACCGGGGGCGACAGCAAUAUGUAGGCCAAGCUGAAGACUUUGCCUGAAUCGCUGAGGAGUGGUGCAUGG
RNAcentral lists this ribosomal RNA (542 nucleotides) under uncultured archaeon. RNAcentral's name for it is "bacterial SSU rRNA". It matches the Rfam family "Archaeal small subunit ribosomal RNA", at positions 457 to 997 of the family's 1478-position model. The record is from RNAcentral.